UACGGCCAUAUCACGUUGAAUUACCGGUUCCCGUACGAUCACCGAAGUUAAGCAACAUUGAGCCUGAUCAGUACUUAGAUGGAUGACCGCUUGGGAAUACCAGGUGCU
Non-coding RNA from Acanthosepion pharaonis, 108 nucleotides. The record is from the annotation of a GenBank genome assembly. NCBI's taxonomy places the organism in Eukaryota, Metazoa, Mollusca, Cephalopoda, Sepiida, Sepiidae.